UUUUUUAACCCCCGGGGAAUGAGCUAGGACGUGCGUUUCUAUUUUGUUGGGUCCUAGCACCGCAGUAAUGAUUAUAGGGACAGUCGGGGGAGUCCGUAUUCNAUCGUGAGAGGUGAAAUUCUUGGAUCUAUUGAAGACGAACUACUGCGAAAGCUUCGCCAGGGAUGUUUCUUAAUCAGGAACGAAAGUUAGGGGAUCGACGACGAUCAGAACCGUGGUAGUGUUAACCAUGAACUAGGCCGUUUAGGGAUCGGACGAUGUUAUUUUUUGACUCGUUCGGCACCCUCCAAUAAAUCAAAAUGUAUGGGCUCCUGGGGGAGUAUGGUCGCAAGGCGGAAAGUCAAAGAAAGUGACGGAAGGGCACCACCAGGGGUGGAGCAUGCUGCAUAAUUUGACUCAACACUGGGAAACUCUCCAUGUCCAUACACCAGUCGGACAUACAGACCCAGGAGCCCUAACGAUUUGAUGGGUGGUGGGGCAUGGCCCGAGUCAAAAGAUAAAAUGAUUCGUUCGCUUAUUUGCGAUAACGAUGGUUACGUUUACGUGCUAAUUNGCUCGUGUCGCUCCGCCGGCACGCCGGCCUUUNAGAGGGACAAUCGGCUCAAGCCGAUGGAAGCUGAGGCAAGAACAGGUAUGUGAUGCCAUUAGAUGUUCUGGGCCGCACGCGCGAUACACNGACAGAGCCAACGAGUUCUCCCUGNCCGGAAGAACCCANUNNAAUCCNNCNCAACGC
This 733-nucleotide ribosomal RNA is filed under the name Kionochaeta sp. 2DF9. RNAcentral's name for it is "bacterial SSU rRNA". It matches the Rfam family "Eukaryotic small subunit ribosomal RNA", at positions 796 to 1562 of the family's 1831-position model. Lineage: Eukaryota; Fungi; Ascomycota; Sordariomycetes; Sordariales. The record is from RNAcentral.